Molecule: ribosomal RNA, 494 nt
Filed under: uncultured bacterium
Lineage: Bacteria
Description: partial 16S ribosomal RNA
Rfam family: Bacterial small subunit ribosomal RNA
Source: RNAcentral
GAUGAACGCUGGCGGCGUGCCUAACACAUGCAAGUCGAACGAAGCGCCUUUUGAGAUUCUUCGGAUGAUUGAUCGGUGACUGAGUGGCGGACGGGUGAGUAACGCGUGGGUAACCUGCCCUGUACAGGGGGAUAACAGUUGGAAACGGCUGCUAAUACCGCAUAAGCGCACGAGAGGACAUCCCCUUAGGUGAAAAACUCGGCGCCUUAAGAUGAGCCUGCGUCUGAUUAGCUAGUUGGUGGGGUACGAGCUUACCAAGGCGACGAUCAGUAGCAGGUCUGAGAGGAUGAUCAGCCACAAUGGGACUGAGACACGGCCCAUACUCCUACAGGAGGCAGCAGUAGGGAAUUUUGCGCAAUGGGCGAAAGCCUGACGCAGCAACACCGCGUGAGCGAAGAAGCCCUUCGGGGUGUAAAACUCUGUCGGCAGGGACGAAAAAAUGACGGUACCUGCAAAGGAAGCAUCGGCUAACUACGUGCCAGCCGCCGCAGUAA